CGCAUCUGUGCAUGCAGCAUAUCAAUAAGCGAGGAAAAGAAACUAACAAGGAUUCCCCUAGUAACGGCGAGUGAAGCGGGAAGAGCUCAAAUUUGAAAUCUUAAAGGGUUUCCCUUUACGAAUUGUAGUUUAAAGAAGUGUUUUCUGUUGAGGUUUUGGUAAGAGUUCUUUGGAAUAGGACAUCAUAGAGGGUGAGAAUCCCGUAUUUGACCUUUACUUUCAACUUUGUGAUACACUUUCAAAGAGUCGGAUUGUUUGGGAAUGCAGUCCAAAAUGGGUGGUAAAUUUCAUCUAAAGCUAAAUAUUGGCGAGAGACCGAUAGCGAACAAGUACCGUGAGGGAAAGAUGAAAAGAACUUUGAAAAGAGAGUUAAACAGUACGUGAAAUUGUCAAAAGGGAAGCGUUUGACACCAGUGUUGUUUUUCUGAAAAUCAAUUAAAGAACUGUUUAUGCUAAGCUGUUUAGACUUUAUCAGCUAACUGUUUAGUUUUGAGCUUUUCUUUAAUGCACUUUUCAGUUAACAAGUCAACAUCAAUUUCUUUUGCUGUAAAAAAGCUUGAGGAAGGUGGCUUGAGAUUCGUCUUAAGUGUUUAUAGCCUCUUGCCUAUGCAGUCGGAGAGAUUGAGGUCUGCAGCGUAGAUCCUUCGGGGCUAAAUGCAUUUGUGCUAAGUUAUAGCAUUUUAUAGACAACUUGUUGACUAUGAUUUGUCUUGUAGCUUACUCGCUUAUGUUAUUUUACCUACGCUUAGGAUGUUGAAUCUGUGCGAGACUAC
Molecule: ribosomal RNA, 773 nt
Filed under: uncultured Neocallimastigales
Lineage: Eukaryota; Fungi; Neocallimastigomycota; Neocallimastigomycetes; Neocallimastigales
Description: partial large subunit ribosomal RNA
Rfam family: Eukaryotic large subunit ribosomal RNA
Source: RNAcentral